AGGGAGAGUGAAGAGAGAGAGGAGAGAGAGAGAAGACAAAUGGAAGGAAGAGAGAAAGAGAGAGAGGAGGUGUGGAGGAAGAGAGAGUGAAGAGAGAGGAGGUAUGGAGGAAGAGAGAGAGAAAGAGAGAGAGGAGGUGUGGAGGAAGAGGGAGAGUGAAGAGAGAGAGGAGAGAGAGAGAAGACAAAUGGAAGGAAGAGAGAAAGAGAGAGAGGAGGUGUGGAGGAAGAGAGAGUGAAGAGAGAGUAGGUAUGGAGGAAGAGAAGGAGAGUGAGAGAGAGGAGGAGGUGUGGAGGAAGAGGGAGAGUGAAGAGAGAGAGGAGAGAGAGAGAAGACAAAUGGAAGGAAGAGAGAAAGAGAGAGAGGAGGUGUGGAGGAAGAGGGAGAGAAGAGAG
Oncorhynchus tshawytscha (Chinook salmon) is the source of this 395-nucleotide long non-coding RNA. The record is from Ensembl. Lineage: Eukaryota; Metazoa; Chordata; Actinopteri; Salmoniformes; Salmonidae.